RNAcentral lists this ribosomal RNA (1497 nucleotides) under uncultured prokaryote. Its description in RNAcentral is "partial 16S ribosomal RNA". It matches the Rfam family "Bacterial small subunit ribosomal RNA". The record is from RNAcentral.
GAGUUUGAUCCUGGCUCAGAUUGAACGCUGGCGGCAUGCCUAACACAUGCAAGUCGAACGGAAACGAUGGUAGCUUGCUACCAGGCGUCGAGUGGCGGACGGGGGAGUAACGCGUAGGAAUCUGCCUUGGAGGGGGGGACAACAUGGGGAAACUCAUGCUAAUACCGCAUACGCCCCCUGGGGAAGCGGGGGAUCUUCGGACCUCGCGCUCUAAGAUGAGCCUGCGUCGGAUUAGCUAGUUGGUGAGGUAAUGGCUCACCAAGGCGACGAUCCGUAGCUGGUCUGAGAGGACGACCAGCCACACUGGGACUGAGACACGGCCCAGACUCCUACGGGAGGCAGCAGUGGGGAAUAUUGGACAAUGGGGGCAACCCUGAUCCAGCAAUGCCGCGUGUGUGAAGAAGGCCUGCGGGUUGUAAAGCACUUUCAGCAGCGAGGAAAAGCCUAGGGUUAAUAUUCGAUGGGUCUUGACGUUAACUGCAGAAGAAGCCCCGGCUAACUUCCUGCCAGCAGCAGCCGUAAUACGCAGGGUGCAAGCGUUAAUCGGAAUUGCUGGGCGUAAAGCGCGCGUAGGCGGUUUGCUAAGCCAGGUGUGAAAGCCCCGGGCUUCCACCUGGGAACUGCAUUUGGGACGGGCAGGCUAUAGUACGGUAGAGUGUGGUAGAAUUUCCUGUGUAGCGGUGAAAUGCGUAGAUAUAGGAAGGAAUACCAGUGGCGAAGGCGGCCACCUGGACUGAUACUGACGCUGAGGUGCGAAAGCGUGGGGAGCGAACAGGAUUAGAUACCCUGGUAGUCCACGCCGUAAACGAUGAGCACUAGCUGUUUGGAAUUUAUUCUGAGUAGCGAAGUUAACGCAAUAAGUUGGCCGCCUGGGCAGUACGGCCGCAAGGUUAAAACUCAAAUGAAUUGACGGGGGGCCGCACAAGCGGUGGAGCAUGUGGUUUAAUUCGAUGCAACGCGAAGAACCUUACCUGGUCUUGACAUCCUGCGAACUUUCUAGAGAUAGAUUGGUGCCUUCGGGAACGCAGUGACAGGUGCUGCAUGGCUGUCGUCAGCUCGUGUCGUGAGAUGUUGGGUUAAGUCCCGUAACGAGCGCAACCCUUAUCCUUAGUUGCCAUCAUUUAGUUGGGUACUUUAAGGAGACUGCCGGUGUUAAACCGGAGGAAGGUGAGGACGACGUCAAGUCAUCAUGGCCCUUAUGGGUAGGGCAACACACGUGCUACAAUGGCCGGUACAAAGGGCAGCUAACUCGCGAGCUUAAGCGAAUCCCAUCAAAGCCGGUCGUAGUCCGGAUUGGAGUCUGCAACUCGACUCCAUGAAGUUGGAAUCGCUAGUAAUCGUGGAUCAGAAUGCCACGGUGAAUACGUUCCCGGGCCUUGUACACACCGCCCGUCACACCACGGGAGUAGAUUGCACCAGAAGUAGGUAGUUUAACCUUCGGGAUGACGCUUACCACGGUGUGGUUUAUGACUGGGGUGAAGUCGUAACAAGGUAACC